This is a long non-coding RNA of Notolabrus celidotus (New Zealand spotty), 221 nucleotides long. RefSeq lists it as uncharacterized. NCBI's taxonomy places the organism in Eukaryota, Metazoa, Chordata, Actinopteri, Labriformes, Labridae. The record is from RefSeq and is a predicted model, not a curated record. The transcript is spliced from 3 exons.
CUCUCUUUCUCUCCCUUUGGAGUGAAGGUUUGCCUUUCCCUGAUGUGGAGUUUACAUGUGUUCUUUUUCUUUCAUUAGCACCAAGGUCCAUGCAGCCUUCUGUCUCAGCAUAUGUGCCACUUUGAUGAGGAGCUCUUUAUUUUACAGGGAUAUAUGGUCUUACUGUGGUCUUAAUUGUGUAUUUGUAUAAACAGUAUAUUUCAUUAAACAUUGAAAAGACA